Molecule: ribosomal RNA, 492 nt
Filed under: uncultured bacterium
Lineage: Bacteria
Description: partial 16S ribosomal RNA
Rfam family: Bacterial small subunit ribosomal RNA
Source: RNAcentral
AGUGAACGCUGGCGGUAGGCCUAACACAUGCAAGUCGAACGGCAGCACAGUAAGAGCUUGCUCUUACGGGUGGCGAGUGGCGGACGGGUGAGGAAUACAUCGGAAUCUACUUUUUCGUGGGGGAUAACGUAGGGAAACUUACGCUAAUACCGCAUACGACCUACGGGUGAAAGCAGGGGAUCUCCGGACCUUGCGCGAUUGAAUGAGCCGAUGUCGGAUUAGCUAGUUGUCGGGGUAAAGGCCCACCCACGCGAUGAUCCGUAGCUGGUAUGAGAGCAUGAUCAGCAACACUGGAACUGAGACACGGUCCAGACUCCUACGGGAGGCAGCAGUGGGGAAUAUUGGACAAUGGGCGCAAGCCUGAUCCAGCCAUACCGCGUGGGUGAAGAAGGCCUUCGGGUUGUAAAGCCCUUUUGUUGGGAAAGAAAAGCAGCAGGUUAAUACCCCGCUGUUCUGACGGUACCCAAAGAAUAAGCACCGGCUAACUUCGUG